GGUCCGAUCUUUACUCCUCCUGAGACGAAGAGGAGGAAAUCCGUUACAAACACACAAGUCAUGAUUUCUGCCGCACUCAAAACAACUUAACUCUGGGAAAUCUGACAUCAGUGAGUUCAAGACAACUGGGAACUCAGGAAAAAACGAGCUCCAACUGGGAAAAUACGUUUUGAAUGGUUAUCCAACAACGGAAUUAGUUCCCAGUUGUAUUGAAAGCACCAUAAAUCCAGAAAAUGCCAGACUUUGAUGGC
Non-coding RNA from Oncorhynchus mykiss (rainbow trout), 251 nucleotides. Lineage: Eukaryota; Metazoa; Chordata; Actinopteri; Salmoniformes; Salmonidae. The record is from RefSeq and is a predicted model, not a curated record.